Molecule: ribosomal RNA, 253 nt
Filed under: uncultured bacterium
Lineage: Bacteria
Description: partial 16S ribosomal RNA
Rfam family: Bacterial small subunit ribosomal RNA
Source: RNAcentral
UACGUAGGGUGCAAGCGUUGUCCGGAAUUAUUGGGCGUAAAGAGCUCGUAGGCGGUUUGUCGCGUCUGCUGUGAAAGCCCGAGGCUCAACCUCGGGCUUGCAGUGGGUACGGGCAGACUAGAGUGCGGUAGGGGAGAUUGGAAUUCCUGGUGUAGCGGUGGAAUGCGCAGAUAUCAGGAGGAACACCGAUGGCGAAGGCAGAUCUCUGGGCCGUAACUGACGCUGAGGAGCGAAAGCAUGGGGAGCAAACAGG